Piliocolobus tephrosceles (Ugandan red Colobus) is the source of this 1627-nucleotide long non-coding RNA. RefSeq lists it as uncharacterized. Lineage: Eukaryota; Metazoa; Chordata; Mammalia; Primates; Cercopithecidae. The record is from RefSeq and is a predicted model, not a curated record. The transcript has 3 exons.
UACAAUACAAAACUAUUCUGCACAGAAUCGGAUGUAAAUUGUAUUUUCCUUCCACAGGAAGGAAACAAACUAAACAGACAAGCAAAAGGAUACUAAAGAUACCAUCUCCAAUUGGACCCAGGUCAGUAGUGCCUCCAGGCACCUGGCCAAAGUCAAUACAGGGGGUUUGGAAGAGGCAGAUAAUAUCAACGGCGGCUAACAAAUUCAACGCACAAAACAGAAUCCUGUUAGAACAGAUGGAGAAACUGAGACACAGGGAGAUUAAGCACUUCCCGAGGGCAUAACAGCGAAUGUUGGAGCUGGGAUGUGAACCCGAGCAGUCUGGCCGAAGAGUCUGAUGUAUUCACCACACAGGCCCCUGUCCCAGUCUCCAGACCCACACUCACACUAGCCAGUCCACAGCCAGGAUCAAGGAGAUAUGGUCGGCCGGGAGGUUGACUGCUUCGAGGAUGAUGGCCAGAGUGAGGACACCUCCAGCAGGGAUGCCCGCUGCCCCCACGCUGGACGCUGUGGCCGUGACCCUGAGGGAGAAGGUAGGAGGUUAGGCAGACGCCUCUGUUGUGGGAGAAGAUAGGGGUCAACUGGGGUCCGGGGGGUCCCAUCCAUAGCCCCCUGACACUCACAGGAUGGUGAUGAUCUUUACGAAGUCCAAGGACUGCUCGCUGAGCUGUGCAAUGAACACUGCAGCCACGCACUGGAAGAGCGCGGCACCGUCCAUGUUGACGGUGGCACCGAUGGGCAGGAUGAAACGGCUGAUGUGCUUGGCCACGCCAUUAUUCUCCUCCACGCACUUCAUCAUCAACGGCAGCGUGGCGGAACUACAAGGGAUGGGGGAGCUGAGUUAGGUCAACCUGCUGACUGGGCUCUGCCCACCCUCCAGGUCCCGCCCAGGAGAGGCCCCGAGAACCCCAUCCCAACCAGCCAAAGCCCCAUCCACCCCACCUAGUGGAUCCCCACCAAAGCCUGCCUAAGCAAAGCCCUGUCACCCAACCAGCCAAAGGCUGCCCACCCUCCAGGUCUGACCCGUACCACCAACCCAGCUGAAGCCCUGCCCACUCAGAGCCCACCCACACCACUUGCCCAGCCCCGCCCACCAGAUCCCGCCCAUACCACCUGUCCAGCCGAAGUCCCGCCCACCUCCCUAGCCUGUCCCUUGGUCCAAGGCCCUCCCAUCUAACCUACAUCCCCUUCUCUCCUACCAUGUCCAGACUCCACCCCCAGCCCUCACUUGCUAUAUCUAAGCUCUUUUCCCACAAGCAGGCAGCACUAGGGAACUCAAUACCAGGAUUACAAAAUCUAUGAGUCCUGGAACCUCUGGGAGAGUACAGACUACUACCUCCCAAAAUACCCAUACAAUUCACACCUAAAUUCUAAUGUUUGGGUCCUGCUGACUCUCACCAAUAAUACACUAAGAAUUCCUAUUGUCUUGGAAGGGGACAGGGCCAGCAGGGACGAAUGAAAUGCCCAGGAGAGAGGGUGGAAGGAGUUCUGAGGUUGAAUCAGAGCAGAAUUUAAGAGCCCCCCAGGGGCUGGGCAUGGCGGCUGUAAUCCCAGCACUUUGGGAGGCCGAGGUGGGCGGAUCACUUGAGGCCAGGAGUUGGAGACUAGCCUGGCCAACAUGGUGAAA